RNAcentral lists this unclassified non-coding RNA (343 nucleotides) under soil metagenome. RNAcentral describes it as "partial contains 5.8S ribosomal RNA, internal transcribed spacer 2, and large subunit ribosomal RNA". The stretch from base 1 to 120 matches the Rfam family "5.8S ribosomal RNA", at positions 35 to 154 of the family's 154-position model. The record is from RNAcentral.
GAUGAAGAACGUAGCGAAAUGCGAUAAGUAAUGUGAAUUGCAGAAUCCAGUGAAUCAUCGAAUCUUUGAACGCACAUUGCGCCCGCCAGCAUUCUGGCGGGCAUGCCUGUUCGAGCGUCAUUUCAACCCUCGACCUCCCUUUGGGGAAGUCGGCGUUGGGGACCGGCAGCACACCGCCGGCCCUGAAAUGGAGUGGCGGCCCGUCCGCGGCGACCUCUGCGUAGUAAUCCAACUCGCACCGGAACCCCGACGCGGCCACGCCGUAAAACACCCAACUUCUGAACGUUGACCUCGAAUCGGGUAGGACUACCCGCUGAACUUAAGCAUAUCAAUAAGCGGAGGA